Molecule: ribosomal RNA, 867 nt
Filed under: Sanghuangporus baumii
Lineage: Eukaryota; Fungi; Basidiomycota; Agaricomycetes; Hymenochaetales; Hymenochaetaceae
Description: partial 25S large subunit ribosomal RNA
Rfam family: Eukaryotic large subunit ribosomal RNA
Source: RNAcentral
GAAGCGGGAAGAGCUCAAAUUUAAAAUCUGGCGGCCUUCUGGUCGUCCGAGUUGUAGUCUGGAGAAGUGUUAUCCGCGUCGGACCGUGUACAAGUCUCCUGGAACGGAGCGUCAUAGAGGGUGAGAAUCCCGUCCAUGACACGGACGCCCGAUGCUAUGUGAGGCACUCUCAAAGAGUCGAGUUGUUUGGGAAUGCAGCUCAAAAUGGGUGGUAAAUUCCAUCUAAAGCUAAAUAUUGGCGAGAGACCGAUAGCGAACAAGUACCGUGAGGGAAAGAUGAAAAGCACUUUGGAAAGAGAGUUAAACAGUACGUGAAAUUGUUGAAAGGGAAACGCUUGAAGUCAGUCGCGUCCCGUGGAACUCAGCCUGGUUUCGACCUGGUGUACUUUCCAUGCGGAUGGGUCAACAUCAAUUUCGACCGGUGGACAAGGGCGAGGGGAAUGUAGCGUGGCUUCGGCGACGUGUUAUAGCCCCCCGUCGUAUACACUGGCUGGGAUUGAGGACCGCAGCACGCCCUUGUGGCCGGGGGUUCGCCCCACGUAACGUGCUUAGGAUGUUGGCAUAAUGGCUUUAAGCGACCCGUCUUGAAACACGGACCAAGGAGUCUAACAUGCUUGCGAGUGUUCGGGUGGAAAACCCUUGCGCGUAAUGAAAGUGAAAGUUGGGAACCUCCGCGAGGGGGUGCACCGACGCCCGGCCCUGACGUUCUCUGACGGUGCCGCGGUAGAGCACGUAUGUUGGGACCCGAAAGAUGGUGAACUAUGCCUGAAUAGGGCGAAGCCAGAGGAAACUCUGGUGGAGGCUCGUAGCGAUUCUGACGUGCAAAUCGAUCGUCAAAUUUGGGUAUAGGGGCGAAAGACUAAUCGA